This is a long non-coding RNA of Cyprinus carpio carpio, 839 nucleotides long. The record is from Ensembl. Lineage: Eukaryota; Metazoa; Chordata; Actinopteri; Cypriniformes; Cyprinidae.
CUGAUCACCAUUCGCUCUCCUUUGCACUUCACUUACAUUCUUAUUUUUUCUCUUUUUUUUCCGUUAAAUAAUUUGCCAGCUCUAUCCCACAAAUUUUCACAUUCAUAAUGUGAAAGCAGUUCAGAGUGCAGAAUGAACAGUAGGAAAUGGGAUGGGUAGGAGGAAAAAACGCUAAGAGGAGAGAAGUGACUGGGAUAGCGGAGAGGAGGAAGGAUCCGGAGCAACGGGAGAAAGAGCCGAACGUGGGAUCAACGAAACCGCGGGAAAAGGAGGAGGAACGACCAGACUGAUCUCAGUUCUUAUUCAGCUGGAAGAAAUGCCAGUUACAUAAAGGGCACCAUUUACUGCCAUUAUACAGCUUGGAAGAGCCAGGACAAUUUUUAAUAUAACUCAGAUUGGAUUCGUUUGAAAGAGGAAUUUCAGAUACACCUAAGAUGCCCUGAGAGUGAGAAUGCUGUGGAAAUACAGUUUGGAAUCAUCAUUGUUACUCCUUCUUCAAGACCGGAAUGAUGGAAAGAAUUUCAGCAUGUACGACUAAAUAUCAUUUGGAACAUCAUGUGGAUGAACAGAAGUCUUAUUGGAACAACAUUAUGGUCGCAACCUCAGAAGAUUUGGAGACGGCACUCGAUUUGAAGAUUUGGAGAAGAAACCGUCAUUGUGAGAGUGAUGCAUUUACUUUUUUUGUCAAAUGACAAAGGAAAGACGGAAGGUAAAGAAGUGUCGUCAUCCGAGAUUAGUAUGCGGUAUGUAUAAUGCAGUGCAUUUAUAUGUAUUUAUAUAAGUGUAUAUAUAUGUGUGUGUGUGUGUAGAUAUACAUGUAGAUAUAGACACACACACAC